GGGGGAUUAGCUCAAAUGGUAGAGCGCCCGCUUAGCAUGCGGGAGGUACCGGGAUCGAUAAUCGGAUUCUCCA
This 73-nucleotide transfer RNA is filed under the name Nematostella vectensis (starlet sea anemone). It matches the Rfam family "tRNA". Rfam says of the family: Transfer RNA (tRNA) molecules are approximately 80 nucleotides in length. Their secondary structure includes four short double-helical elements and three loops (D, anti-codon, and T loops). The record is from Rfam by way of RNAcentral. Lineage: Eukaryota; Metazoa; Cnidaria; Anthozoa; Actiniaria; Edwardsiidae.